GUCUACGGCCAUACCACCAUGAACAUGCCCAAUCUCGUUUGAUCUCAGAAGCUAAGCAGGGUUGGGCCUGGUUAGUACUUGGAUGGGAGACCACACUGGAAUAUCAGGUGCUGUAGAUA
This 119-nucleotide ribosomal RNA is filed under the name Pteropus alecto (black flying fox). Lineage: Eukaryota; Metazoa; Chordata; Mammalia; Chiroptera; Pteropodidae. The record is from RNAcentral.